CUUUCCGGCCGGACUGCCGCGCCUGUGGCCGGAAGAGCCAGCUAGACCAGAGAGUCUGUACCUGCAACCCUGGCGGCGUCCGAGCCCAAGGCGGAGUCUGGGAGACAAAGAAGUCCUCGCCGCCGGCCGCUGGAGGAUUCUGCCAGUAGUGAAAGAUGGGGUCUCGUUAUGUUGACCAGGCUGGUCUUGAACACCUGACCUGAAGUGAUCCUCUUGCCUCAGCCUCCCAUAGUGCUGCGAUCACAGCCUGCCGAGUGCCUGCGAUUGCAGGCACGCGCUGCCACGCCUGACUGGUUUUGGUGGAGACGGGGUUUCGCUGUGUUGGCCGGGCCGGUCUCCAGCCCCUAACCGCGAGUGAUCCGCCAGCCUCGGCCUCCCGAGGUGCCGGGAUUGCAGACGGAGUCUCGUUCACUCAGUGCUCAAUGGUGCCCAGGCUGGAGUGCAGUGGCGUGAUCUCGGCUCGCUACAACCUACACCUCCCAGCCGCCUGCCUUGGCCUCCCAAAGUGCCGAGAUUGCAGCCUCUGCCCAGCCGCCACCCCGUCUGGGAAGUGAGGAGUGUCUCUGCCUGGCCGCCCAUCGUCUGGGAUGUGAGGAGCCCCUCUGCCUGGCUGCCCAGUCUGGAAAGUGAGGAGCGUCUCCGCCCGGCCGCCAUCCCAUCUAGGAAGUGAGGAGUGCCUCUUCCCAGCCGCCAUCACAUCUAGGAAGUGAGGAGCGUCUCUGCCCGGCCGCCCAUCGUCUGAGAUGUGGGGAGCGCCUCUGCCCCGCCGCCCCAUCUGGGAUGUGAGGAGCGCCUCUGCCCGGCCGCGACCCCGUCUGGGAGGUGAGGAGCGUCUCUGCCCGGCCGCCCCGUCUGAGAAGUGAGGAGCCACCCCAUCUGGGAAGUGAGGAGCAUCUCCGCCCGGCAGCCACCCCGUCCGGGAGGGAGGUGGGGGGUCAGCCCCCCGCCCGGCCAGCCGCCCCGUCCGGGAGGGAGGUGGGGGGGUCAGCCCCCUGCCCGGCCAGCCGCCCCGUCCGGGAGGUGAGGGGCGCCUCUGCCCGGCCGCCCCUACUGGGAAGUGAGGAGCCCCUCUGCCCGGCCACCACCCCGUCUGGGAGGUGUGCCCAACAGCUCAUUGAGAACGGGCCAGGAUGACAAUGGCGGCUUUGUGGAAUAGAAAGGCGGGAAAGGUGGGGAAAAGAUUGAGAAAUCGGAUGGUUGCCGUGUCUCUGUAGAAAGAAGUAGACAUGGGAGACUUUUCAUUUUGUUCUGCACUAAGAAAAAUUCUUCUGCCUUGGGA
This 1279-nucleotide long non-coding RNA is filed under the name Homo sapiens (human). RNAcentral's name for it is "GTF3C2 antisense RNA 2, transcript variant 11 (GTF3C2-AS2)". Lineage: Eukaryota; Metazoa; Chordata; Mammalia; Primates; Hominidae. The record is from RNAcentral.